UCCCAGGUGGCUCAGUGGUUAAAGAAUCCACUUGCAAUGCAGGAGACACAGGUUCAAUCCCUGGCUUGGGAA
Molecule: transfer RNA, 72 nt
Filed under: Bos taurus (domestic cattle)
Lineage: Eukaryota; Metazoa; Chordata; Mammalia; Artiodactyla; Bovidae
Also listed under: 5 other names
Rfam family: tRNA
About the family: Transfer RNA (tRNA) molecules are approximately 80 nucleotides in length. Their secondary structure includes four short double-helical elements and three loops (D, anti-codon, and T loops). Further hydrogen bonds mediate the characteristic L-shaped molecular structure. tRNAs have two regions of fundamental functional importance: the anti-codon, which is responsible for specific mRNA codon recognition, and the 3' end, to which the tRNAs corresponding amino acid is attached (by aminoacyl-tRNA synthetases). tRNAs cope with the degeneracy of the genetic code in two manners: having more than one tRNA (with a specific anti-codon) for a particular amino acid; and 'wobble' base-pairing, i.e. permitting non-standard base-pairing at the 3rd anti-codon position.
Source: Rfam by way of RNAcentral